GGCAGGGGAAGCUCAUCAGAGGGGCCAUUUUGAGAGUGCUCGUCACUCCCCAGCCCGUGGGAAAGUCUGAGACUGGGGCCUCCUGAGGCCCUAACUGGGCUCUCCCUGAGUGGGGAGGUGAGUUCCCAGAGAGCAGGGCCCCAUGACCUUUAUCAUGAAGGGGUGUUGGAUUUUGUCAAAGGCCUUUUCAGCAUCUAAUGAAAUGAUCAUUUUUUUUUUCAGUUUGUUUAU
RNAcentral lists this long non-coding RNA (231 nucleotides) under Peromyscus maniculatus bairdii (prairie deer mouse). RNAcentral's name for it is "Nuclear RNase P (ENSPEMG00000002455.2)". It matches the Rfam family "Nuclear RNase P", at positions 1 to 208 of the family's 301-position model. From Rfam's summary of the family: Ribonuclease P (RNase P) is a ubiquitous endoribonuclease, found in archaea, bacteria and eukarya as well as chloroplasts and mitochondria. Its best characterised activity is the generation of mature 5'-ends of tRNAs by cleaving the 5'-leader elements of precursor-tRNAs. The record is from Rfam by way of RNAcentral. Lineage: Eukaryota; Metazoa; Chordata; Mammalia; Rodentia; Cricetidae.